CAGUAACACGUAGGAACGUACCCUCAAGUCUGGUAUAGCUCGCCGAAAGGCGGGGUAAUCCCAGAUGGUCUCGCAAGAGUAAAGUUUUUCGCUUGAGGAUCGGCCUGCGGGCUAUCAGCUAGUUGGUGGGGUAAUGGCCUACCAAGGCGAUGACGGCUAGGGGGAGUGAGAGCUUGGCCCCCGACGAUGGAACUGCGACACGGUCCAUACACCUACGGGUGGCAGCAGUCGAGAGUCUUCCGCAAUGGGCGAAAGCCUGACGGAGCGACGCCGCGUGAAGGAUGAAGUCCCUCGGGACGUAAACUUCUUUUAAUUGGGAUAAAUUUCGUGAUCGUACCAAUUGAAUAAGGGGUUGCUAACUCGUGCCAGCAGCAGCGGUAAGACGAGUACCCCGAGCGUUGUCCGGAAUUACUGGGCGUAAAGGGUGUGUAGGGGUCUCGCCGCAUCUUCAGUUAAAACCCAUGGCUCAACUGUGGGCCUGCUGAAGAGAUGGGCGGGAUUUUGAGAGUGCGAGAGGUAAGUGGAACUCACGGUGUAGGGUGAAAUCCGUUGAUGUCGUGGGGAACACCAAAGGCGAAGGCAACUUACUGGCGCAUUUCUGACCCUGAAACACGAAAGCGUGGGGAUCAAAAAGGAUUAGAUACCCUUGUAGUCCACGCCCUAAACGAUGUUCACUAGCUUUUCCAAGUAUCGACCCUUGGAGAGGCGAAGCUAACGCGUUAAGUGAACCGCCUGGGAAGUACGAACGCAAGUUUAAAACUCAAAGGAAUAGACGGGGACUUGCACAAGCGGUGGAUCAUGCGGUUUAAUUCGACGUGAACGAAGAACCUCACCAGGGCUUGAAAUCCAGACGACGUCGCGCCGAAAGGCGAGACUCUUUCACAAGAAGCGGCUGGACAGGUGCUGCAUGGCUGUUGUCAGUUCGUGAUUUGAAUUGUUCCCUUAAGUGGGGUAACGAACGCAACCCUUAUUGCCUGUUAUAAGUGUCAGGCAAGACUGCCUCGUUAUACGGGGAGGAAGGAGAGGAUGACAUCAAGUCAGCAUGGCCUCUAUGCCCUGGGCUACACGCAUGAUACAUGGCCGGUACAUGGGACGCGAAACCGAAAGGCGGAGCAACCCCAUCAAAGCCGUCCCAUUCGGAUAGAGGUCU
RNAcentral lists this ribosomal RNA (1150 nucleotides) under uncultured bacterium. RNAcentral's name for it is "bacterial SSU rRNA". It matches the Rfam family "Bacterial small subunit ribosomal RNA", at positions 108 to 1306 of the family's 1533-position model. The record is from RNAcentral.